RNAcentral lists this long non-coding RNA (504 nucleotides) under Fukomys damarensis (Damara mole-rat). Its description in RNAcentral is "lncRNA (ENSFDAG00000028655.1)". Lineage: Eukaryota; Metazoa; Chordata; Mammalia; Rodentia; Bathyergidae. The record is from RNAcentral.
CUGGUUACUGACCCAUCCCAAUGAUGUCUCUCUGGAGGGUUCGUCCUCAGGGCUCAGGCCCAUUCCCUGUGAGGAAGUGGAUUCCAACUGGUCAUCAGUUUUGCUUCUCAAGCCAGGUGGAAAUAUUGGCCUGCCCCUUGACCUGACUUCUCAUGAUGGCUUGGUGUGUAAAGGGAUCAAGAAUCUGCUGGAGGGCUGGAUAUUUAGCUCAGUGGUUCCACUGACUGCCUUGCAAGCACAAGGACCCAAGUUCGAUCCCCGGUGCCAAAAAGAAAAAAAAAAAAAAAAAGAAUCUGCUGGAGGUUUGGUUUUCUUGGCAGUAAUCCCAGGGAUCUUCAUACUCUCCCAAGGUAUUAGUGGGAAGUACUUUUGAAGGAUGCUCAGUGUGCCUCCUCCAGAGACCUUCUGUUCUGAAGACCCAUGUGAAGACCCAUGGUCCCACCUCUUUUUGAGAGCAGUUCUCCUGGUGAGGCUUGCUGGGGAUUACAGGGGCUUUGACUCCAC